RNAcentral lists this ribosomal RNA (304 nucleotides) under uncultured bacterium. Its description in RNAcentral is "partial 16S ribosomal RNA". It matches the Rfam family "Bacterial small subunit ribosomal RNA", at positions 506 to 807 of the family's 1533-position model. The record is from RNAcentral.
CAGCAGCAGCCGCGGUAAUACGGAGGAUCCAAGCGUUAUCCGGAAUCAUUGGGUUUAAAGGGUCCGUAGGCGGUCUUGUAAGUCAGUGGUGAAAGCCCAUCGCUCAACGGUGGAACGGCCAUUGAUACUGCAGGACUUGAAUUAUUGGGAAGUAACUAGAAUAUGUAGUGUAGCGGUGAAAUGCUUAGAGAUUACAUGGAAUACCAAUUGCGAAGGCAGGUUACUACCAAUUGAUUGACGCUGAUGGACGAAAGCGUGGGUAGCGAACAGGAUUAGAUACCCCGGUAGUCCCUGUCUCUUAUAC